Long non-coding RNA from Onychostoma macrolepis, 1464 nucleotides. RefSeq lists it as uncharacterized. NCBI's taxonomy places the organism in Eukaryota, Metazoa, Chordata, Actinopteri, Cypriniformes, Cyprinidae. The record is from RefSeq and is a predicted model, not a curated record. The transcript is spliced from 3 exons.
AAGAGCUGCAUCAAGAGAAAUCAUCCCAAAGGAGAGUAUUCCUUGUCUAUUGUGAAUGUAUAUUUUCAUAACUGUUUCAGUUUAUCACUAUAGCAUAUUUUUUCUUUCUCUAUUUCAGUUAAGACUUAAUGCUGGCAUGUUCUGAAGGAACUUGAUUCUUGUUUUCUUCAAAAAACGAUCUGUGAGCUUGAGGAUUAAAAGCUCAUUGCUUGUGUUUCGUUGUUGCUGGAAAUGGGUGUCUUCCCCACCGCUAGGGGUGCUAUGGCGCCUAAAUGAGCUCCGUCAGUAGAGGAAGUUAGCAGAACGGCAGCAGUAGAAAGCAUGGCUUGACUGCAUGUGUGCGAUGUCCUUGUUGGGAAAUGUUCCAUUUCAAGCUCAACUUAAAAAGGACACUUUAUUGGUGACUAACCACAUGUUACGAGCUAAAAAUGGAUGUAAUGCCCAGAUGGAUGUAAGCUUGUAGCUUCUGUCUUACUUAUGGCAGUACCUGAUUUGGAAAGGUCUGGGGCUUGGGAACUGUUAUCGUUUGGAGUGAAGUCAUCGCAAAUAGUUGGAGUAUUCAUCGUCUGAGGGACAGCUUCAACUUUGGGCAUAAUUUGAUAAACUAUAUCUCAUCAAAUAAGACUCUCCCACACAUCCAUUUGCACAUUAAUAAACUGUGCAACCUAAUAUCUAUUUCCUGUUAUGGAUUCAUACAUGACAUUAUUUGUAUAAUGUGAUUGAUUGUGUCUUUUGUUUGUUUGUUUGUUUUUUCAUGGCUAUAUAAAAAGAAUGUGCAUAUAUUUGGUAAGCAUCUUCCCUUCUUAAAGGGGAAUUUAGUUUGCCUAACAGUAGUUUAAGUUGUAUAACUAGUUUUGUGUUAGAAAAACAUGAGGCGGUUAUAAUAUGCAGAAAUUGUCCUUCUUAAAAUGUCAUCUCAAUCUCAGCAGUCCCUCUUUCCAAAACCUGGCAAGGUAAGAGUCCUCCAAAGAUUUGACUAAACCUCCCUUACAAUGUUUACACCAUUGUGUGCAAAAUGGUGACUUUACUUGGUCAACAGCUUACAAUGCCUCUAAGCUCAGGUUUCAGAUAAAAGGGGUGCCCCAAACCUAGUGACAAGAGUUUGAGAUCUGUCUAGCAAUGUGUGCACUAAAGAGUUUCAGGGUUCAUUCAUGGCUGCAUUGAUAACUGCUUGUUAAUGUCAAUUUAACUCCUGUGACUGUGUGUUUGAGUUUUGAAUUGAUGUACUCCACAUAUCUGCAUAUUUAAUUAAAUUUAAACCAUGCUUAAAUGUCCUUUUGCUGCUCACUGUUUUUCAUCUGUAAAAUAUAAAGGACUCCCUUCAGUUCACAGAUGGCUCUGAUUUUCAUAAGCAGCUCACAGUGUUCCUGUUGCACCUCUAGAAACAUCAAUUAGAAAUGCAUUAGAAAUUUCAAUUGUUUGCUUUGUUCCUGUGAGGUACUGACAGUGUUAAAGAUUCUCCUG